Molecule: long non-coding RNA, 966 nt
Organism: Myiozetetes cayanensis
Lineage: Eukaryota; Metazoa; Chordata; Aves; Passeriformes; Tyrannidae
Exons: 2
Source: RefSeq, a predicted model, not a curated record
GGCGCCUGCGCGGUGGUGCCGCCGGGAGAGCCCCGAGGAGAUGGAGGCGGUGGCGCGGCGGCCGCAGGAGCGGGGGCAGGAGCGGAAUCGGCGGCAGGAGCAGGGGGAUGGCGGCCAGCUGCUGUCACGAUCGCUGUCACUGUCGGGACAGUCCUACUGGCUGGACCUGUGGCUCUUCGUCCUCUUCGACCUGGCGCUCUUCGUGGUCAUAUACUUGCUGCCCUGAGGGCGCGGGCCCAGAGGAACGCCACGGGAUGCACCUCGUGAACACGAGCAGUGGAGGAGGAGGACCAUUCGUGCGGGAUAAGCAGCUGGGAACACGGCUCCACUUGCAGCUGGAUGCAAGAGGCACAUAUUUAUAGUAAUACCAUAAUGUAUCUCUGCCUGCGUCACAAUAUUACGCUACAGGUUUUUACCUGCGUCCUGUUUCUGUGCUCCAAACUGUGCCUUAAAGGUUGUGUAAGAUGGACGGGCUGUGCUUGUGUAAUCGGUGCCUGAAGAUUUGUGCAGCAGAAAGGGAAGAAAGCACUGCUUGAAUAAAACCCACUGAAAGGACACUCUGCAGAGUGGCUGAGAAUAAAGCCCAGCUCUUGCCUAGACCCAAGUUUUAACUCAGACCUGUUCCCACAAGAGGUGAAGCUUAACCAGCUGUUUUACUUCCAAAAAGUUAAUUGUGAGGGUUUGAUGCUGUUUGGGUUUCUAUUACACCUUUCUCUCUUCUUUCUUAUCUACCUUCAGCAGUUUCUGAGCCUCCUCAGGGUCAGUAUUUAUAUGUAUGUGUAUUUAGAGUAAGCUUUGGAUCCGGUCAGGUUUUGGAGAAGACAGUCUCCUGUCUAUGGAUGAAGGGGGUUCAGUUUUCUGUAGUAUUUUUCCCUGGGGAAUACUAGUUUCUAAUUCUGAGAAGCACAGUUCAUAGUUGGUUUGGGUUUUUUUCACGAAUAAAUGUAAUAACUGCAUUGCAGAGAC